UACAGAGGUCUCAAGCGUUGUUCGGAUUCAUUGGGCGUAAAGGGUGCGUAGGCGGCCAGGCAAGUCAGGUGUGAAAUCCCGGAGCUCAACUCCGGAACUGCACUUGAUACUGCGCUGCUAGAGUACUGGAGAGGAGACUGGAAUUUACGGUGUAGCAGUGAAAUGCGUAGAUAUCGUAAGGAAGACCAGUGGCGAAGGCGAGUCUCUGCACAGUUACUGACGCUGAGGCACGAAGGCCAGGGGAGCAAACGGG
This 253-nucleotide ribosomal RNA is filed under the name uncultured bacterium. Its description in RNAcentral is "partial 16S ribosomal RNA". It matches the Rfam family "Bacterial small subunit ribosomal RNA", at positions 524 to 776 of the family's 1533-position model. The record is from RNAcentral.